UACGAAGGGGGCUAGCGUUGCUCGGAAUCACUGGGCGUAAAGCGCACGUAGGCGGCUUUUUAAGUCAGGGGUGAAAUCCCAGAGCUCAACUCUGGAACUGCCUUUGAUACUGUCGAUCUGGAGUAUGGAAGAGGUGAGUGGAAUUCCGAGUGUAGAGGUGAAAUUCGUAGAUAUUCGGAGGAACACCAGUGGCGAAGGCGGCUCACUGGUCCAUUACUGACGCUGAGGUGCGAAAGCGUGGGGAGCAAACAGG
This 253-nucleotide ribosomal RNA is filed under the name uncultured bacterium. RNAcentral describes it as "partial 16S ribosomal RNA". It matches the Rfam family "Bacterial small subunit ribosomal RNA", at positions 524 to 776 of the family's 1533-position model. The record is from RNAcentral.